UAAGUAGAAGCCAAAUUAGAGGCACUUAACUGUUAAUUAAACCAUUGUCAACACCCUGACCUACUUAG
RNAcentral lists this transfer RNA (68 nucleotides) under Pisione sp. YZ-2018. Its description in RNAcentral is "tRNA-Asn". Lineage: Eukaryota; Metazoa; Annelida; Polychaeta; Phyllodocida; Pisionidae. The record is from RNAcentral.